AAAUUGAAGAGUUUGAUCAUGGCUCAGAUUGAACGCUGGCGGCAGGCCUAACACAUGCAAGUCGAGCGGUAGCACAGAGAGCUUGCUCUCGGGUGACGAGCGGCGGACGGGUGAGUAAUGUCUGGGAAACUGCCUGAUGGAGGGGGAUAACUACUGGAAACGGUAGCUAAUACCGCAUAAUGUCGCAAGACCAAAGUGGGGGACCUUCGGGCCUCAUGCCAUCAGAUGUGCCCAGAUGGGAUUAGCUAGUAGGUGGGGUAACGGCUCACCUAGGCGACGAUCCCUAGCUGGUCUGAGAGGAUGACCAGCCACACUGGAACUGAGACACGGUCCAGACUCCUACGGGAGGCAGCAGUGGGGAAUAUUGCACAAUGGGCGCAAGCCUGAUGCAGCCAUGCCGCGUGUGUGAAGAAGGCCUUCGGGUUGUAAAGCACUUUCAGCGGGGAGGAAGGCGUUAAGGUUAAUAACCUUGACGAUUGACGUUACCCGCAGAAGAAGCACCGGCUAACUCCGUGCCAGCAGCCGCGGUAAUACGGAGGGUGCAAGCGUUAAUCGGAAUUACUGGGCGUAAAGCGCACGCAGGCGGUCUGUCAAGUCGGAUGUGAAAUCCCCGGGCUCAACCUGGGAACUGCAUUCGAAACUGGCAGGCUAGAGUCUUGUAGAGGGGGGUAGAAUUCCAGGUGUAGCGGUGAAAUGCGUAGAGAUCUGGAGGAAUACCGGUGGCGAAGGCGGCCCCCUGGACAAAGACUGACGCUCAGGUGCGAAAGCGUGGGGAGCAAACAGGAUUAGAUACCCUGGUAGUCCACGCCGUAAACGAUGUCGAUUUGGAGGUUGUGCCCUUGAGGCGUGGCUUCCGGAGCUAACGCAUUAAAUCGACCGCCUGGGGAGUACGGCCGCAAGGUUAAAACUCAAAUGAAUUGACGGGGGCCCGCACAAGCGGUGGAGCAUGUGGUUUAAUUCGAUGCAACGCGAAGAACCUUACCUGGUCUUGACAUCCACAGAACUUAGCAGAGAUGCUUUGGUGCCUUCGGGAACUGUGAGACAGGUGCUGCAUGGCUGUCGUCAGCUCGUGUUGUGAAAUGUUGGGUUAAGUCCCGCAACGAGCGCAACCCUUAUCCUUUGUUGCCAGCGGUUCGGCCGGGAACUCAAAGGAGACUGCCAGUGAUAAACUGGAGGAAGGUGGGGAUGACGUCAAGUCAUCAUGGCCCUUACGACCAGGGCUACACACGUGCUACAAUGGCAUAUACAAAGAGAAGCGACCUCGCGAGAGCAAGCGGACCUCAUAAAGUAUGUCGUAGUCCGGAUUGGAGUCUGCAACUCGACUCCAUGAAGUCGGAAUCGCUAGUAAUCGUAGAUCAGAAUGCUACGGUGAAUACGUUCCCGGGCCUUGUACACACCGCCCGUCACACCAUGGGAGUGGGUUGCAAAAGAAGUAGGUAGCUUAACCUUCGGGAGGGCGCUUACCACUUUGUGAUUCAUGACUGGGGUGAAGUCGUAACAAGGUAACCGUAGGGGAACCUGCGGUUGGAUCACCUCCUUA
This 1540-nucleotide ribosomal RNA is filed under the name Klebsiella pneumoniae. RNAcentral's name for it is "bacterial SSU rRNA". It matches the Rfam family "Bacterial small subunit ribosomal RNA". The record is from RNAcentral. Lineage: Bacteria; Pseudomonadati; Pseudomonadota; Gammaproteobacteria; Enterobacterales; Enterobacteriaceae.